UAAGGAAUAUUGCUCAAUGGGAGAAAUCCUGAAGCAGCAACACCGCGUGGAGGAUGAAGGGUCUAUGACUUGUAAACUCCUGUAAAGAAGGAAAAAAUUCCCAUUUGAUGGGAGAUGAUGGUACUUCUGGAGUAAGCCCCGGCUAACUACGUGCCAGCAGCCGCGGUAAUACGUAGGGGGCAAGCGUUGUCCGGAUUUACUGGGUGUAAAGGGUGCUCAGGCGGAUUUGUAAGUCAGAGGUGAAAUCUUACAGCUUAACUGUGAAACUGCCUUUGAUACUGCAAGCCUAGAGUAUGGAAGAGAGUUAUGGAAUAUCUGGUGUAGCAGUGAAAUGCGUAGAUAUCAGAUAGAACACCUAUGGCGAAGGCAGUCACUUGGUCCAUUACUGACGCUAAAGCACGAAAGCGUGGGUAGCAAACA
This 420-nucleotide ribosomal RNA is filed under the name uncultured bacterium. RNAcentral describes it as "bacterial SSU rRNA". It matches the Rfam family "Bacterial small subunit ribosomal RNA", at positions 355 to 774 of the family's 1533-position model. The record is from RNAcentral.